GAUGAACGCUGGCGGCGUGCCUAAUACAUGCAAGUCGAGCGAACGGACGAGAAGCUUGCUUUUCUGAUGUUAGCGGCGGACGGGUGAGUAACACGUGGAUAACCUACCUAUAAGACUGGGAUAACUUCGGGAAACCGGAGCUAAUACCGGAUAAUAUUUUGAACCGCAUGGUUCAAAAGUGAAAGACGGUCUUGCUGUCACUUAUAGAUGGAUCCGCGCUGCAUUAGCUAGUUGGUAAGGUAACGGCUUACCAAGGCAACGAUGCAUAGCCGACCUGAGAGGGUGAUCGGCCACACUAGAACUGAGACACGGUCCAGACUCCUACGGGAGGCAGCAGUAGGGAAUCUUCCGCAAUGGGCGAAAGCCUGACGGAGCAAUGCCGCGUGAGUGAUGAAGGUCUUCGGAUCGUAAAACUCUGUUAUUAGGGAAGAACAUAUGUGUAAGUAACUGUGCACAUCUUGACGGUACCUAAUCAGAAAGCCACGGCUAACUACGUG
Molecule: ribosomal RNA, 497 nt
Filed under: uncultured bacterium
Lineage: Bacteria
Description: partial 16S ribosomal RNA
Rfam family: Bacterial small subunit ribosomal RNA
Source: RNAcentral